This 223-nucleotide long non-coding RNA is filed under the name Elaeis guineensis (African oil palm). Its description in RNAcentral is "long non-coding RNA (EGUI_LNC050735)". The record is from RNAcentral. Lineage: Eukaryota; Viridiplantae; Streptophyta; Magnoliopsida; Arecales; Arecaceae.
GGCAAGCAAGGUAUUAAGGUCUCGAACAUAUGGAUGUUCAAAGACUAAAUAAUAUCUCGACUUACAAAAGGACACUUCAUAUGUGAUAUGAUGUAUUCUCUAAAAUACUUCACAAAUAUUAUUAUCUCAUUCUGAAAAAUAUCUUAGAAAUUGCUAUAAAUUUUUGAAUUAGAUAUUAUAAAAAAUUAUUACUAGCACUCCAUAUGAGAUAUGGAAAAGGAAG